CAUUCAAGUUUCUGACCUAUCAGCUUUCGACGGUAUGGUAUUGGCUUACCGUGGCAGUGACGGUUAACGGGGGAUUAGGGUUCGAUUCCGGAGAGGGAGCCUGAGAAACGGCUACCACAUCUAAGGAAGGCAGCAGGCGCGCAAAUUACCCAAUUCUAACAGUUUGAGAGAGGUAGUAACAAGAAAUAACAAUACAAGGCAAUUAAAAUGCUUUGUAAUUGGAAUGAUAGAAAUUUAAACCCUUUUUAAAGUAUCAAUUGGAGGGCAAGUCUGGUGCCAGCAGCCGCGGUAAUUCCAGCUCCAAUAGCGUAUAUUAAAAUUGUUGCAGUUAAAAAGCUCGUAGUUGAAGUUCUGCUAAAAGUAACCGGUCUGCUUUUAAUAAAAGUGGUAUCUUGGUGUGUAUUUAGCAAUGAUGUCCUUUGAAGUGUUUUUUACUUUAUUGUAAUAAAGCAUAUUCAGGACUUUUACUUUGAGAAAAUUAGAGUGUUUCUAGCAGGCCGACGCUUUGAAUACUGCAGCAUGGAAUAAUAAGAA
Molecule: ribosomal RNA, 534 nt
Filed under: Hepatozoon canis
Lineage: Eukaryota; Apicomplexa; Hepatozoidae
Description: SSU rRNA
Rfam family: Eukaryotic small subunit ribosomal RNA
Source: RNAcentral